CCUGCCCUCACCUUGACCUGUAAGUUGCCUAGGACAGUGGCCUGGUCCCAGGGGCUGUUGUGGGGAGUUGAAGAACACCCUGGCCUCCUCCAUCAUGUCGGCCAAGAGGGCAGAAUUGAAGAAAACACAUCUGGUAAAAGAGAGACAUCGCUGGACAAGCAAGAACUACAAGGCAGUUUGCCUGGAAUUGAAGCCAGAGCCGACCAAAACAUUUGAUUACAAAGCAGUUAAACAAGAAGGGCGGUUUACCAAAGCAGGAGUGACACAGGACCUAAAGAAUGAACUCAGGGAAGUGAGAGAAGAGCUCGAGGAGAAAAUGGAGGAGAUAAAACAGAUAAAGGAUCUAAUGGACAAGGAUUUUGAUAAACUUCACGAAUUUGUGGAAAUUAUGAAGGAAAUGCAGAAAGAUAUGGAUGAGAAGAUGGACAUUUUAAUAAAUACACAGAAGAACUAUAAGCUUCCCCUUAGAACAGCACCAAAGGAGCAGCAGGAACUCAGGCUGACGGGAAAGACUCACAGAGAACCACAGCUCAGGCCUAAGAAAAUGGAUGGAGCUGGUGGAGUCAAUGGAGCACCCUGUGCUCUUCACAAGAAGACGAUGGCACCACAAAAAACAAAACAGGGGUCACUGGAUCCCCUUCAUCACUGUGGGACCUGCUGCGGUCAGAGAAAAGGAAUAGGGGAAGGACAGUGUGGAGAAGAGAGAGAAAGGAAGGGAGACAAGUAGGAGCGAGAGGACUGGAGAGAAAAAGAAGCUGGGUUUCAAUCCCAUCAUGAGGCGGAGAUCUCACCACGUUGCCCUGGCCGGUCUCCAACCCCUUGUGAGCUCAAGUGAUCCUCCCACCUCGGCCUCCCAAAGUGCUGUGAUUAUAGGUGUGAGCCCUUACACCCAGCCUGUUUGCAUCUUUUAAUGAGUACCCAAAUUAACCUCUAAUUGGGACUUGAUUUUCUACAAGUGCUGCUCCAAGAGGCUUCUACACCCCCGCAGGGAGGCAAGCACCGUUUUGAGGUGGCCGGGCUGGCGAGGGGGUGCAGACCCCAGCCAGCUGGAGGGGCUCUGCCCUGAUGGCGUUCCCACUCCCACCUCAUUCGCAGGGCGCCGGGGAGGGCUGCAGGUGUUCUAUUCCCACCCGGCUUGCAGCGCAAGGAGGGGAAUCGCCUGACACCUUCCCCUUCUCCUCUGCCCCGCUUCCUUUCUCUGCUCCCACAGGUGGAAGUCAACAGCGGAAACAACCCUUCACUGUAUGGAGGGCUGGGAGAGAGGGGCCAAGAGGGCCCCGGGAGAGCCACCGGGCGGCAGGCAGGGGGCGGGGCAGUCUCCCUUCCGGCUUCAGGGACCGAAGGGUGAAUGGCAAGGGGAGCUCAGGGAAUGAACGAGUGCUCCCGACUAAUGUUUAACCCACGACUCCGAGACUCCGACUGGUCACAGUCCUGCAGACCUCCAGGUCCUGCACAGGCGACGCAGCACUCCACUGGCCCGGAAUGCGCACCCCGGGGGAAAUGGAAAGUGCCAUUGAAAUGUCAGAUGUCACCGUCUUCAUCAGCACUCUUGGAAUUUUGGCCAAAGUGGCUUCUUCUUUUGCUGAGACUUGACUCACUCCCGGCAGAGGGAUGAUAGCGGCCUUGCCCCGAGCGUUUAUCCGGCUGCAGGCGUCAUUCUUGGUCGCCUGUGUGUCCAGAGCCCCAGCGCAGGAAGGGAGCGCAAUUCCCACCGCGUCCGCUGGGUGGCGCUAGCGCCGCGCCGUGUCCCGGGAUGAGGGGAAACCGCGCUGCCCAGUCAGUGCCCCGACGCCCCCGCGCCCCCGCCCGGCCCCGCGCGCUGCAGCCACCGCCUCUUCUCGGCUUCCUCUUGCUUUCCAGUAACUCUCCUCCUGGGGAAAAGGCUUUUCACGGAGCAGGCUCGGAGCCUACGGGGCUGGCCUCGGACUGGAUGGGGAGGGUGCUCAACUUGCUGGAGUCAUCUCUGCUAUGGCUUUAUUUGCCAACAACAGAGAACUUGCUCUGCAGCAGCCCCAGGCUCUCUGGGGACCCCACAGGCUAUGCAGAUCCCCCACCCCAGAACCACAGAAGGAGACGGAGCAGAAGCACACCCCGUCUUCCAGGCCCAGGACAGCUGCUGAGCUCCAGGACACGGACUCUUGAAGGUUGAUUUUGACUACUUACUAAGCUCCAGCUGAACCAGUUCCACUUCUUUAACCUUCCCAUGAUCCCUGUGAGGGGUCUGUGGUAUUGCUAUUUGCAAGUAAAGAAAGUGAGAUUGAGGGAGGCUGAAAGACUUGGCCCCAAGUCACAAUGCCCUGCUGAAUGUGGUGCUGCCUCCUGGAUAUCCUGGGUGCUUCAACAUCAACAGCUCUUGGCAAGUGAGUGGGCCACGAAGGAUGGACGAGGGACAUGGGGGAGCAAGCCCAGCUGCACAGUUCCAGCUCUUUCCGCCACAUCACAGCUUCUGCAGUUGGGAAGCCUGAACAGUGAUCUUCAGUUUGUUCGUCAAAGGGCCAAGAAAUCUGUGUCCUCACCUUCUCUGCUUCAAUUCUGGUGCUGCUUAAGCCGAUUAUCAUUUCAUGCCCUAAACCAAAAAAUAAAUUCUACAAACAUCAACAUUACAUAGGACAGGAUCUGGCCCACAGAUUGGGGGCAGGAGCUGCUUUUUCAAUGAGAAGAAUGAACAGACCUAGUGGGCGUUGCCUUUAGACCCAGGUAAGAGGAAUCUCAGCCUUGGGACAUUACUUUCAAGGGCCAAGCCCAUAGGCCAUCCUUCUAGAACAUUCUUUGGGUAGCUAGGGCUUCAUAAGUCACUUACUGGGUUUGUCCUCCUUGAGUGGACUGUGUUGUCAGUGUGCACACCUGUAUUUCCAUGGAAUGGUAUCUUAGUCCUGCUGCUAUAACAGAAUACCUGAGACUGAAAAAUGUAUAAACAAUAGACAUUUAUUUCUCACAGUUCUGGAGGCUGGGAAAUCCAAGAUCAAGGCACCAGCUGGUUUGGUGUCUGGCGAGGGCUGCUCUCUGCUUCCAAAAUGGUGCCUUGGGGCUGGGCGUGAUGGCUCAUACCUAUAAUCCCAGCACUUUGGGAGGCCAAGGCGGGCAGAUCACCUGAGGUCAGGAGGUUAAGACCAGCCUGGCCAACAUGGUGAAAACCCCAUCCCUACUAAAAAUACAAAAAAUUAGCCAGGCAUGGUGAUGCAUGCCUGUAAUUCCAGCUACUUGGGAGGCUGAGGCAAGAGAAUUGCUUGAACCCAGGAGGCAGAAUUUGCAGUGAGCCGAGAUUGCACCACUGCACUCCAGCCUGAGUGAUAGAGUGAGACUCUGUCUCAAAAGACAAACAAACAAAAAACCAAAAUGGUGCCUCAUUGCUGGAUCUUCCAAAAGGGAUGAACGUAUGUUCUUGAAUGACAGAAAAGACAGAAGGGCAGAAAGUGUCCAAACUCACUCCAUCAAUCCCUUUUAUAAGGUGCUAAUCACUCCCUAAACACCCCAUCUCUUAUUACUGUUGCACUGGGGAUUCAGUUUCAGCAUGAGUUUUGGAGGGAUACAGACAUUCAAACCACAGCAUUGUGCACACUCCUUUUUCUAUGGAAUGGCCAAGGUGCAGCUAUUUGCAGAGGCCCUGACAGAGCUCCGCUGUGGAGCUGGGGUGUCCACAUGCCUGUAUGGAAGAACUUUCAUGGCACCGGAGCCUGGUGGGAAGAGAAGUGGGCUGGGCUAUAGACUGGGCACCAGGGACUAUCACCUCGUGCCACCACAUUUAGUGUAGAGUUCCAGAGAGGCCACAAAUUCUUCAUUUGAACUGGACUCCCCAGCCUCAUAUUCCUCUGCAGGAUGUAAAAAGGUAAUGCCAGCAGACGUUGGCAGUGCUGGAGACGCCUGGUGGGCAGAGGUUACCUGGCUGGAGUGGCAGGUGUGAGGAGAUGCCUCCCAGCAUAAGGAAUGUGGGCUUCUGUUGGAUCUCUUGUUCCAGGCCUCACACAUGUUCAAGGCAGCCUGGGUAUGUCUUGGCCCGUUCAAUCCCUCAAAGCCCUGUUUAAUUCUCAUCUUGCUGUCACCUAUGUGGUGCCAAGAAACAAGUCACCAAAAUAAUGAAAUGCCUACCUAAGCUUAAAAACAAAACCAUGAGGUCUUUCUAAAUAAAUUAUGAAAAAAGUGCAAACUGCAGGUCCCUGUAAUGAUUUCAAAGACUCCGUUCCAACAAUGCAUUAAUUUAAAAAGGGAGUAUAAGGCAAAGGGGGGUGAUUAGAAGAGGAAGGCAGCUGACAUCAAACUGAAUAUACCAAGUUUCCUCCUCAAAAACGAGUGUGCAUUAUUUGUGGUGACCAUUCUUGGUAUUGUUCUAUUGCGUAACACACAGCAUAGCAUCAUUCUUUUAGAUGUCAUUCAUUUAAUAUAUGGGCAAAUGUACAUGGUUAGGCUAGACUGGAGCGCUUGUCUACACUGCUU
This is an RNA transcript of Pan troglodytes (chimpanzee), 4431 nucleotides long. It is a transcript of the gene named testis expressed 35, with no coding region annotated. NCBI's taxonomy places the organism in Eukaryota, Metazoa, Chordata, Mammalia, Primates, Hominidae. The record is from RefSeq and is a predicted model, not a curated record. The transcript has 12 exons.